CCAACGGCAGAUAGUGCCUACAAUGUUUCCUUGUGUCGCCGUCAGUCAUUCAUGUUACUCCAUGAAUGUAGAAUCGUAGCUCAGUACGUGUAAAUAAUUUCAUAUUUUCCGCAAGACAAUUCUAUAAUACAAAUGUAUACAGGAGUGGGUCAAGCGACGGGCCCGCGCCGUGUCACCAGUGCGUAGGAGCACCGCUGCGUCAUCCACGUGCAUCUCAAAAACCUUUCCACAAAAACUCACGCUAACCGACUAGCGAGGCAAAAGGCGACGAAGCUUUUAAACUUUAGGAACUUUUUCCCGUCGUAUCGCAUUCGUCAAGUGACAAGUACCUACACAAAGUGUCUAAUUAGUAUUCAUCUGGGCGCGUGUAGACCUCUUCGCGGUGGGGACGGGUUAUUAGCCGGCGCCGCCUCCGCGCCCAGGCAUAUUGUUCCGAGUUCUGCCCACCGAGCGCCGUACGCUCGCCCGACCAACGAUAAUUCAUAUUGUCAAUAUUUGUACUGCAACAACGAACCGACGAUUUCACCAGAGGAAGCCGAGCCGGUGGCUGGGAAGGCAAGAAGUCGGCAUAGCUGUUUGAAAAUGAUAUACGGCUGUGUCACUUCGAGCCAGCUCAAUCCACCGGCUUUCUGCAUAAAGAAGAUUUGCGGACGCUGCCGUAACGUGAAAAUUCGGAUCGCUCCCGUAGCGGCGCGACUCCGGCCGGGAGAGGGCGCAUUGACAGCUGUCACUGGGCACUAUUUCGCUUUCUUCGCGGCCGGACGUGGGAGGAAAUCGUUUAUUUUUAUCACACACGACGAUGUUCCCGUAGAGUGCGACCGGCUGUGUACGUGCGUGACGAAACGAUCGAAAACAAGACGACAAAAUGCCGAACGAGGAGGUGUUGGGUCCGCGGAAGACGAUGUUCGUACUAGUGAUUGUUGUGGGAUGUUUCGCGGUGCUGUGGCCCAGGAUUCUGUCGCCGCUGAUCUUGGGCCACUCGCGGGACCAGCUCAAACCGAACGCGUUCGACCGGGAGGCAGGAUGCUGCGAAGUGAUGUUCGAGACAGAACUGGCGGUAUUGGAACUGAUCAACGAGGUAUGUAGUUCAGCAGUCCACGUGGACGGAAAGCUCUCUCCAUACGCCGCGGCGGAGUGUCGCAAAGCCGUCAACGAGACCUGCGGAGUAGAUAUAGCGGCAUUCCUCAAACGAAAUGAGAACAUCGGCAAGACCUCCAAGAAACUAGUCGAGACUAUGAAGAACAGCAACUCCUCGUGCCUUAAGGAGCAUUUUGGCGUGCCCGUCUGGAGUCUCGCUCCUCACCAGGCGUUCAACUCAUGGACCCUACAAGACACUGUAAAACAAGAGCGUCCUCUGAACCGCGGCGCAGGGCCGCAUCCAGCACUGCGAGAGCGGGGCCGCGCGAUUCCUCAGGGCGUGGCCCCCGCGAGACCCGCGACACCGAUGCCGCCCCACGUUCGGGUACGAUCCUCCCCGCUAUCAGUGUACUAUGAGCUGGACAUCAAGCCACCACCGAUCCCGGGCAUGCGGCCCCCGCUCGGCUCGCCCGGGGGUCCGGUGCCCACGCCCAAGUCGUCCAUGGGGUUCGUCAUGCCGAUCUACACGAUAUGCAUCAUAGUGUUCUUCGUGUACACACUUAGCAAGAUCCUGUUCAAGCGCACCGCGUCCCCCUACGAGCCUGUUAGUCCCGACCCCCACUUCAGGAGCAGGGUGUUCCGCGACGACUCCAGGACGUCGCCCGACAAGCUCGUUGUUACUGCAAUAUCGGGCCUGGUGGCAGAGGUACAGCAGCAGAUGGAGGCGAGCUACGCGCAAAACCAGCAGCGACAGGAGGCCCAGGAUGAGCAGGCUCGCCCGUACACGAACGGUACAAUACUUCACAACACCGGCCCGGUGCAUAUCGUCGCCAGCGAAUACCAGGAAGUAUCCAAGGAAAAGACUCCUGAACCUCAGAGGGAAGUGCCAGAACCUUCACCUGAAGUGAAGGAACCUGCCCCUGAACCUGAAAAGCCUCUGUCAAAAGAAUCUUUAGAGACGAAAGAGUCUGAGGAAUUAGAGGCUGAAAAACAAGAAGAAUUGGUUCAAGAAAUACCUGCAACACAAUCUGAAGAAGCAGAGACGGACGAUGUUAAAGAAGAGAAGGGUCCAGAAGAAAAUGACUUAAAACUCGUUGCUGACGAUGAAGUGGACGAAAAUGGUGGCGAAGCUAAAUUCGAUAAAGAAGAAUCGGGUUCAGAGCCAGAGUUAAUAGAAAUUAAUAAUAAAGAGGAUGAACUGAUUAAAUUAACAAACGAUGACGUAGAAAGCGAUGACUACGUCAAAGUGGUACAGGAUUUCUUGAACGAGGAAGCUAAAAUAGACGUGAAAGAAGAGAAACAAUCGACUCCGGAUCUCCUGGAAGUAGCUAUUAAAGAGGACUCGCCUGAUAAACCUGAGGAUGACCAAGAAAAUGCUAGUGUAAAGCACGAGGCGGAGGAAGUGAAGUCGAUAUUCCUGGAGACGGAGAUUCCGCAGAAGUCUCGGGUCCUCGUCGCGGACUUCGUCGAAGACAGGCCCGAAGACUCCGCGCCCAGUAACAAUUCCCCAAUGGUGGUGAGCGGUAAAAUGACUUUGUCACUCAUACAGGACGCACCGAGAGACACUCCUGAGAAGGAUCCAGAAUCAACAGUGGAUGAUUUCACAACAGCCAGUGCAAUCACUCAACCCGCCGCUGAUAAACAAGUUGAAGAAGAGUCCGACGAAGAAAUAGAGAUCGAAGAAGAAAUAGAAGUGGAAGAGAUCGAGGAAGAGGAAGAAGUUGAGGAGAUUGAGGAAGACGAAGAGAACGAACCGGUGGAGGCGAAGAAACCAGAAGCAAAGGAACCAGUCAAAGUGCAAGAAGUAAAGGAAGCUGUUAAAGUACAGGAAGAAGUAAAACAAGCAGAAGAAGAUUCCGAAGAGGAGGUAGAAGUAAAUGAAGAUGAGGAACCAAUACAAGAUUCGAAAUUUGAACCGGUUAAAGAACUAGAUGCCGAUAAAGAAGAAGAAUAUUCUGAGGAAGAAAUUGAGGAAAAUGAGGAACCAGUGAAAGAGUCAGUUAAGGUAAAGGAACCGGUGAAAUUAAAAGAGCCAGUUAAAGGAAAACCAUCUGUAGAACAUUCAGAAGAUGAUAAGGAACAGAAGAAAGCGAAAGGAGAUAAAGAAUGAACUGAUAGGAAUUAACUUGUAGUGAGAGAAUGUUUGGUGGUUCUGUAAAGAAAAAUAUUAAACAAGUAAAAUGGAUUCAAAUAAAAAUACCUACAUUAUUUGGCCCUUUAAAUGGAAUCCAAAGAAGGAAUUAGGAAGGCAUAAUUUUUGAGCACCACCGAAAAUUUUUCACGUUUGAAGAAAAAAUACAUCAGGCAAAAACAACAUUAGUAUAUUUCAUACGGAACCACUAAACAGUUAUUUUAUCUUUAAAUAUAAUUUUAAAAAUGUUUAUUUUUGCAAGUUAUAUUUUCGUAUGCUUUCGCUCGUCACGUUAUUUUUUUACAAUUAUAUUUUUACCUUCGAUUGUCGUUUAUUUAAGAUGUAUAUUUCGUGCAGAUGUCGCCGUUCGCUUGUAGUAUAAGAUUUUAAGUGUGUUUAUGGACGUGGCAGUUUCUGGGGCAUAAUUUAUCAAUAUAAAAAAAAGACACUAAAAUUUUAGGCCUUGACAAAUCUAGUCAUUUUAAAAUUACUAUACUAAAAAGAUUUACAAUUACUCAGGUUUGUCUAUAAUCUUCAAUGACAACAAAAAUUAGCAUUGUAUGUUCAUCGAUCGAAAAUAACCAAUCAAAAUAAGUAAUUAGUAUGCCAUCAUUUAAUUCCAAUUUUUUCUUACAGUGAUUUGAUAAUCUAUUAAUUUCGAUCGAGAGAAUGUAAGAUGAUGCCUCAGUAUGCCGUAAGAGUGUCCAUGAACAUGGAACUACGAAUUUAGCAUUGCUCUCAGUGUUCGAUAUUUUUGUGCCAAAUUUACUUCGAGCUUUUUAAUUUUGUCAUAGUUUUACAUUGACCCCACACAUUUUGUAUUACAUUGACACCCCAUUGGCAAGUUUCCGGUUUAAACUACGAUAUUUAAAGAACCGGAAUGAGGUAGCCAGAAAAAUUACUGGAUAUUAUGAGCUUCACAGUUAAUGCGUCAUGGUGAAGAACACAAUGCUUUACCAUGUACUUGUAAUUUAAAGUUUUGAAAGAUUGUUUUUCGAAAACGUUGCUCGUCUCAUACUGUUCAAUUACAUAUUUUUACUGCUUAAUAUAUAUAUUUCAAUGGGGUGAUAUAACUAACUAUGUAUCAAUGUAUCAUUUAUAGGUUAGCGGUGAUGGACACGGCAGAGAAAAAAUCGAUUAAAUAUUGAAACUAUGACUCAUGAUCAUUCGCAUAUGGUUUCUAGUUACGUAAGUGUAAUUUCAAGCGAAGCGAAUUUUUUUUAUGAUAAUUUUAACCUUAUAGGAGACAUAAUUAGAUGUGGUUUCCAUUAUCUUCGAUUAGUCUAAUUGCCGGCACUCCGUCAGCGCUGAACCUUUAAAUUCACAGUCGCUGCUGGUCAUGGUUGAUGACGUCAUUUGUUGUUUCUUAGGCUGUCUUGCCAAAAUAUUUGUGGAUUAGUAUAGACAAUUUUUUUACCCUUAGCAAAUCUAAUUUGUGGCAAAUCUUCCUUCCAAAUGUUUAGCCAAAUUUUUACAAUGUUUUCCUAUUAUACACUAAUGUAUGAAUUAUAGGUAAUAAUAUAAAUUAAUAUUGUAUGAUCGCUUGCAAAAAAUAUUGUAUUAUAAUUAACAUUUUUUUUUUGAUUCUGUUAUGUAAAAUUUGUUAGAAUAUAAGAACCAGUUAUGGACUUGCCGACGUAUAAUUAUCAAAAAAAAAAGGUUGGAUUGAUCCUACAAUUUUUUACAGCAAUUUUUCUUGCAAGCGAUUUUUUAUUAGUAUCAUGCCCCAACCUCUACAUGUGUUAAUGUAUUGGGUGUGUUAGAAUAGACGGUAAUUUUGCACUGGCGUGUAGUUUUUAUGCAUUUAAGUUUAUAUCUUUGUGAUUUGUUAAGAAAAACAUUAUUUAUUUUGUUAUAUUUUUUUGCGGAAUGAACCCUUUAUGUGCGGAAUUUUUCGUCAAUAUUUUAUCAUACCUCAUUGUAUGACGGUUAGGUCUAUGGGGUAACGUGAUACAUCGCAUAAUAAGGGUGAAAAUAUUUAUUUUUGAAUGUUAACUAAUUUAUAUUAUUGAUUGUAAAUUUUUGUUUACUGUGGAAAUGUUUUUAGACGUUUUAUAAUCGAGUGUAACUUAUUAAUACAUGGUAUUCAGCAUUCCUUGUCUUUCUGAAUGUGUAGUAGAUCCAGAUCAGAUUGUCUAUUUAAAUGUAAACAUACACAUUUCCGAUAUGUAUUGCUUGUUUUUAGUUGUAAUAAAAUAACAGU
RNAcentral lists this microRNA precursor (5411 nucleotides) under Manduca sexta (tobacco hornworm). The stretch from base 543 to 623 matches the Rfam family "mir-31 microRNA precursor family". Lineage: Eukaryota; Metazoa; Arthropoda; Insecta; Lepidoptera; Sphingidae. The record is from RNAcentral.